This 459-nucleotide ribosomal RNA is filed under the name uncultured bacterium. RNAcentral describes it as "partial 16S ribosomal RNA". It matches the Rfam family "Bacterial small subunit ribosomal RNA", at positions 338 to 795 of the family's 1533-position model. The record is from RNAcentral.
CCUACGGGGGGCAGCAGUGAGGAAUAUUGGUCAAUGGUCGGGAGACUGAACCAGCCAAGCCGCGUGAGGGAUGAAGGUACAGAGUAUCGUAAACCUCUUUUGUCAGGGAACAAAGGCGGGGACGUGUCCCCGGAGGAGUGUACCUGAAGAAAAAGCAUCGGCUAACUCCGUGCCAGCAGCCGCGGUAAUACGGAGGAUGCGAGCGUUAUCCGGAUUUAUUGGGUUAAAAGGGUGCGCAGGCGGUCUGUUAAGUCAGCGGGAAAAGCCCGGGGCCAAACCCCGGCCCGCCGUUGAAACUGGCUGUCUCGAGUUGGAGAGAAGUAUGCGGAAUGCGCGGUGUAGCGGUGAAAUGCAUAGAUAUCGCGAAGAACUCCGAUGGCGAAGGCAGCAUGCCGGCUCCACACUGACGCUGAGGCACGAAAGCGUGGGUAUCGAACAGGAUUAGAUACCCGGGUAGUC